CCCAGCUGCCCCCCUUACCUUUUUUUUUUUUAAAUCCUUACCUUAUGUCUUAGAAUCAAUAUGGUAUAUUGGUUCCAAGACAGAAAUGUAGUAAGGUCUAGGCAAUGAGGGUUAAGUGACUUGCCAGGGUCACACAGCUAGGAAAUGUUUAAGGACAAAUUUGAACCCAGGACCUCCCAUCUCUAGGCCUGGCUCUCUAUCCACUGAACCAUUUAGCCACCCUAUCCUUAUCUUUCUUAUUUCUGCUGGCCCUAGGCCUUUGGACUCUGGUUUCCUACUUUGACCUAUUUUCUCUCUAUGAUGAAGUGAGCUCAUAGAUAAGCCUCUUUGAAUUGUGAAAUAUGCUGGACCCUUCUCUCUCCCUCCCUGCUUCUCACUUUAGUUAGACUACUAAUCCUGAUGUUUCCCAUUUAUCUCUGUACUAUUUCAGUGUGUCUCACAGCUGUCUGGGACCUGAUCCAGUUUUCUUACUAUACAAGGAUAGCCACCUAUCCUUAACCCACCCUUUCAUCCAUCCGUCCAUCCAUCCAUCCAUCUAUCCAUCCAUCCAUCCAUCCAUCCAUCCAUCCAUCCAUCCAUCCAUCCAUCCAUCUAUCCAUUCAUCCAGACAUGUUUUGGCUGCUAAUUGAACCAAGACUCUGUUCUUAUCAAGGAUCUUCUUCUUACCUUAGAAUCUGACCUGACAUCCAUGUUUCUUGAAAGAGGAGACAUAUGGCAGAUAUGUACACAAUGACAUAUGUCUACAUGGAGAGAAUAUUGAAUUUGGAAUUAGGAGACACAUUUUAGCCCUGGCUCCAAUAUUUAAAUCCUGUGUAACCUUGGAGUCAUCCAAGACCAGUGGAAACACAGAUGUCAGAAUGACUGAUGAUGGCCAGGGAUGCACUGAGUGACCAUGACAUCAUUGAUAUCUGAUCAAGCUUUAGACACUCCACAGUGCCUGCUUCAACCACCUUCAUGGCCCUUGGAACAAAUUGUUCUCAUUCUCCCAUUCCACGGGAAGAAGUCUUCAUAUGCUUGGGGAUAGACAUCCUUCCUAGCUCAGCAAUGGGUUUGAGGUCUAUCAGUUACCCUCUACCUGCUUUAGCCCACUUGCUGAGAUGGUUUACUGGGGCGUUGCCACUGCACAUGCUACAGCUUCUUGGAGCUGCAGGUUCUCCCUUUAAUGAAGAAGUAUGGUGACGCGAAAACAAUGAAGGACUUUGGCCACAUUGGAAAAAUACAUGUAUGUUCUGUUCUUUACCUACCAUCCACCGCCUGUCUGUCGAGGGGGAGGAGGCAGGCUUCAUCAUGAGUCCUCUGAAGUCAUGAUUGGUCACUGCAAUCAUCAGUGUUUUGAGGAACAGGAUCCGUUUCUUCUAUCCUCCUCUGCUACUCACUUGUCUUGCCCCUGAGAACCUGCUGGGGGCUGGCUGAUGAUAAAGUUGAAGCUCAGUCUUGGGGAAGAGGGAUGGCUGGUCAAUGAGAAGUCCUUGAGGACUCAUCAAAAAAUUCUAGAAGGAAUUGUUUUUUUUUAAAUCCUUACCUUCCAUCUUAGAAUCAAUACUGUGUACUGGUUCCGAGGUAGAAGAGAGAUGAGGACGAGGCAAUGGGGAUUAAGUGACUUGCCCAGGGUCACACAGCUAGAAAGUAUUUGAGGCCAGAUUUGAACCCAGGACAUUCCAUCUCUAGGUCUGGCUCUCCAUCCACUGAACCACCCAGCUGCCACUAGAAAGAGUCUUAAAAACUCUAACUUUACAGAGGGAGAAACUGAGACUCAGUGAGAUCCAG
Molecule: long non-coding RNA, 1767 nt
Organism: Monodelphis domestica (gray short-tailed opossum)
Lineage: Eukaryota; Metazoa; Chordata; Mammalia; Didelphimorphia; Didelphidae
Source: Ensembl